UGCCAGCAGCCGCGGUAAUACGUAGGGUGCAAGCGUUAAUCGGAAUUACUGGGCGUAAAGCGUGCGCAGGCGGUUAGGUAAGACAGAUGUGAAAUUCCCGGGCUCAACCUGGGAACUGCAUUUGUGACUGCCUGACUAGAGUGCGGCAGAGGGGAGUGGAAUUCCGCGUGUAGCAGUGAAAUGCGUAGAUAUGCGGAGGAACACCGAUGGCGAAGGCAACUCCCUGGGCCUGCACUGACGCUCAUGCACGAAAGCGUGGGGAGCAAACAGGAUUAGAUACCCUGGUAGUCCACGCCCUAAACGAUGUCGACUAGUUGUUGGACGGGUUACUGUUCAGUAACGUAGCUAACGCGUGAAGUCGACCGCCUGGGGAGUACGGCCGCAAGGUUAAAACUUAAAUAAAUUGACGG
This 410-nucleotide ribosomal RNA is filed under the name uncultured Thiomonas sp. RNAcentral describes it as "bacterial SSU rRNA". It matches the Rfam family "Bacterial small subunit ribosomal RNA", at positions 506 to 916 of the family's 1533-position model. Lineage: Bacteria; Pseudomonadati; Pseudomonadota; Betaproteobacteria; Burkholderiales. The record is from RNAcentral.